Molecule: ribosomal RNA, 119 nt
Filed under: Pteropus vampyrus (large flying fox)
Lineage: Eukaryota; Metazoa; Chordata; Mammalia; Chiroptera; Pteropodidae
Source: RNAcentral
AAGGACGGCCUCGCCAACCUGAACGCACCCGAUCCCAUCUGAUCUCAGAAGCUAAGCAGGGUCGGACCUGGUUAGUGCUUGUAUGGGAGACCACCUAGGAAGACCAGGUGCUGUACGCG